CAAAGCAAUCAACAAAUACAUGGAGAUACAGACACAGAUUGGUCUGAAUUGUAAAACAAAACAAAAUAAAUGUACUUGUGGACAGUUCAUAACAACUAGAUCAGAGUGAUAAAAAGUUUGUUAUCACUAGGGAAAACCUUACUAACUGACCUAUAACAGUAAGAACACUAGGGAAAAGGUUGUUACUAAUAAAAGGUUUCAUGGCAUUCUUUAGUUCCUUUUGGUUUCAGUCCUACAAUGCAAGGAUAUCGGAUUUUGGCUUGGCAAAACUCAGUCCUUUGGUUAGUCAAUCACAUGUAACAACACGGGUAAUGGGAACUUAUGGUUAUGCUCUCUUGAGUAUGUUCAAACAGAUUGAUAAACGUUAUGGGUUUUAUGGAGUGUCCCAACAUCUCUUUUUAGCUCUGGAAUUUUAAUGUCUUCCGAUUGACAUAGCUAUGGAAUUUUAAUGUCUUCCGAUCGACAUAGCUCUGCACACUGCUGAGUAAGUUGAUUUGUAGCUUCAUACUUCAGUUUAACUUCAUUAGUCUUUAGCUUUUCUAUUUCAUUACCCAUGCUGCCCACUUUCAUUGAAAGCGUAGUUAGGGUUUUGAGUAUCUUUUCUAAAGCAUCAUCUUCUAUUA
This is an RNA transcript of Capsicum annuum, 623 nucleotides long. It is a transcript of the gene named receptor-like protein kinase HERK 1, with no coding region annotated. The transcript has 2 exons. The record is from RefSeq and is a predicted model, not a curated record. Lineage: Eukaryota; Viridiplantae; Streptophyta; Magnoliopsida; Solanales; Solanaceae.